ACAUGCCUACAACAUAGUGCUAAUGCAUCGGAUCCCAUUAGAACUUUGUAGUUAAGCCUGCUCAUGCUAGAGUAGUACUGGGAUGGGUAACUGCCCGAGGAAUCCUAGUGUUUUACAUGCC
Molecule: non-coding RNA, 121 nt
Organism: Picea glauca (white spruce)
Lineage: Eukaryota; Viridiplantae; Streptophyta; Pinopsida; Pinales; Pinaceae
Source: Rfam